RNAcentral lists this ribosomal RNA (253 nucleotides) under uncultured bacterium. RNAcentral describes it as "partial 16S ribosomal RNA". It matches the Rfam family "Bacterial small subunit ribosomal RNA", at positions 524 to 776 of the family's 1533-position model. The record is from RNAcentral.
UACGAAGGGGGCUAGCGUUGCUCGGAAUCACUGGGCGUAAAGCGCACGUAGGCGGAUCCUAAGUCGGUGGUGAAAUCCUGGAGCUCAACUCCAGAACUGCCUCCGAUACUGAGAGUCUUCGAGUCCGGGAGAGGUGAGUGGAACUGCGAGUGUAGAGGUGAAAUUCGUAGAUAUUCGCAAGAACACCAGUGGCGAAGGCGGCUCACUGGCCCGGUACUGACGCUGAGGUGCGAAAGCGUGGGGAGCAAACAGG